AUGCCUUACACAUGCAAGUCGAUCGGCAGCACGGGGGCAACCCUGGUGGCGAGUGGCGAACGGGUGAGUAAUACAUCGGAACGUGUCCUGUAGUGGGGGAUAGCCCGGCGAAAGCCGGAUUAAUACCGCAUACGAUCUACGGAUGAAAGCGGGGGAUCUUCGGACCUCGCGCUAUAGGGGCGGCCGAUGGCGGAUUAGCUAGUUGGUGGGGUAAAGGCUCACCAAGGCGACGAUCCGUAGCUGGUCUGAGAGGACGACCAGCCACACUGGGACUGAGACACGGCCCAGACUCCUACGGGAGGCAGCAGUGGGA
This 313-nucleotide ribosomal RNA is filed under the name Burkholderia sp. DV3. Its description in RNAcentral is "bacterial SSU rRNA". It matches the Rfam family "Bacterial small subunit ribosomal RNA", at positions 45 to 359 of the family's 1533-position model. The record is from RNAcentral. Lineage: Bacteria; Pseudomonadati; Pseudomonadota; Betaproteobacteria; Burkholderiales; Burkholderiaceae.